This 130-nucleotide ribosomal RNA is filed under the name uncultured bacterium. RNAcentral describes it as "partial 16S ribosomal RNA". It matches the Rfam family "Bacterial small subunit ribosomal RNA", at positions 917 to 1045 of the family's 1533-position model. The record is from RNAcentral.
GGGCCCGCACAAGCAGUGGAGCGUGUGGUUUAAUUCGACGCAACGCGAAGAACCUUACCAGGGCUUGACAUGUACGUAGUAGGGAUCCGAAAGGUGACCGACCCCUCGGGGAGCGUAUACAGGUGGUGCA